CGGGGGGCUGCAGUGAGGGAUAUUGCGCAAUGGGCGAAAGCCUGACGCAGCAACGCCGCGUGGGCGAUGAAGGCCUUCGGGUUGUAAAGCCCUUUUCUGGGGGAAGAGGAAGGACGGUACCCCAGGAAUAAGUCCCGGCUAACUACGUGCCAGCAGCCGCGGUAAAACGUAGGGGACAAGUGUUAUCCGGAUUCACUGGGCGUAAAGCGCGUGCAGGUGGUGCUUUAAGUUGGGCGUGAAAUCUUCCGGCUUAACUGGGAGGAGUCGUUCAAUACUGAAGCACUUGAGGGCAGGAGAGGGAGGUGGAAUUCCCGGUGUAGUGGUGAAAUGCGUAGAUAUCGGGAGGAACACCAGUGGCGAAGGCGGCCUCCUGGCCUGCUCCUGACACUAAGACGCGAAAGCUAGGGGAGCGAACGGGAUUAGAUACCCUAGUAGUC
Molecule: ribosomal RNA, 437 nt
Filed under: uncultured Thermoflexus sp.
Lineage: Bacteria; Bacillati; Chloroflexota; Thermoflexia; Thermoflexales; Thermoflexaceae
Description: bacterial SSU rRNA
Rfam family: Bacterial small subunit ribosomal RNA
Source: RNAcentral